Molecule: long non-coding RNA, 440 nt
Organism: Clarias gariepinus (North African catfish)
Lineage: Eukaryota; Metazoa; Chordata; Actinopteri; Siluriformes; Clariidae
Exons: 3
Source: RefSeq, a predicted model, not a curated record
AGAUUUUUUAGUUCGAGCAUUUACUACGUUUCUUCUGAUAAGAAGAAUUGAAAUGACACCAGAAAGUACUGCAGAGAGAGAGGAGCAGACCUGGUGAUCAUAAACAGCAUCGAAGAACAGGAGUUCAUCAGUAAAUAUUUUGUAUACCAUAAAGCUUGGAUUGGUCUGACUGACAUAGUCAGAGAGGGUGACUUUAAAUGGGUGGACGGUUCACCACUGAUCACUGCGUUCUGGUGGAACGGUGAACCCAACAAUAUUGUGGUAGAAGAGGACUGUGUUAUAACAGCCUAUAUAUUUGCUAAAUAUAACAUGUCAUGGGUUGAUUUUCCAUGUAACUCCUCUGUAGUUGGAAUUUGUGAGAUGAAAUUAUUUAACUGAGCUCACUGAAGUCAACAGCUGAAACUGAUUAAAUCAGAAUUUGUAUAUUAAAUAUAUUUUGU